Long non-coding RNA from Tyto alba (common barn owl), 382 nucleotides. RefSeq lists it as uncharacterized. The record is from RefSeq and is a predicted model, not a curated record. The transcript is spliced from 3 exons. NCBI's taxonomy places the organism in Eukaryota, Metazoa, Chordata, Aves, Strigiformes, Tytonidae.
GGAAAAGAAAAGAAGGAGAGAGAGGAAAAAAAAAGCCUCCACACACUUCAGGACAGCAUUGAACUGGUGUGUCUGAGUUUCACUCCAGGAAAUGAGCAGGGAUCCAGGGAAGCAUCCCACAUGUUCAGAGCAGGGCUGCUGGUGUUCCUGCUAAUCUCGAUCCUCUGCUAUGAAUGUAACUGUUGCUUCACAAGGGACGGAAGAUCACUGCUUCAAACAGAGAUCUGGCCUCUAGAUUGCAGUUCAUUACACCCCCAUGUACAGGAAUGAGGACUCAUCUCCUGAAAUGGAAAGACAAAUGGAAAAAAUGCUGAUCUUAUUUAAGAAUGUCAAUGAGAGCGAGAGCAUUGUGGUAUUAAAAUAAAUAGAAUAAUGCUUUUUA